GAUGAAGAACGUAGUGAAAUGCGAUACCUGGUGUGAAUUGCAGAAUCCCGCGAACCAUCGAGUCUUUGAACGCAAGUUGCGCCCGAGGCCACUCGGCCGAGGGCACGCCUGCCUGGGCGUCACGCCAAAACACGCUCCCAACCCCCCUCAUCGGGAAUAGGGAUGCGGCAUAUGGUCCCUCGUCUCGCAAGGGGCGGUGGGCCGAAGAUCGGGCUGCCGGCGGACCGCGCCGGACACAGCGCAUGGUGGGCGUCCUCGCUUUAUCAACGCAGUGCAUCCGACGCGUAGCCGGCGUGAUGGCCUCAAAACGACCCAGCAAACGAAGCGCACGUCGCUUCGACCGCGACCCCAGGUCAGGCGGGACUACCCGCUGAGUUUAAGCAUAUCAAUAAGCGGAGGA
This 400-nucleotide unclassified non-coding RNA is filed under the name soil metagenome. RNAcentral describes it as "partial contains 5.8S ribosomal RNA, internal transcribed spacer 2, and large subunit ribosomal RNA". The stretch from base 1 to 122 matches the Rfam family "5.8S ribosomal RNA", at positions 35 to 154 of the family's 154-position model. The record is from RNAcentral.